ACUCUUCUAGUUUGACGUUAAUUAGUAUGUAUGUGUGUGUAUAUAUUUUGAGAAAUAAACACUUCGUCAAAGAACCAAACUAGAAAAAUUAUGUUUAGCCAUCAAAGAUAAUCAAUCAGGAAUAUACAAACUCCGCAUAUCUUGUUCUCUUGAUUUAGAAGCUCUCCACGCAAGUUGGUGGGCAAAAUUGUUUCCUUUCUCUCGCGAUUUUAUCGAACGAAACCACACCAAAAUGAGCACCCAGAUUGUUAAUUUCCUCUAAAGAUCCAUCUAAUUUUGGUGAUGUUGUCGUCUUACCAUCGUAGAAGGUUCACAACCUUUGCCGAAUCAGUUUCCACAUGCACUCGGUAUCCCAUCAGGUUUUGUCAAAUUUCUCAGUGUUAGAAAAAAUUUCAGGAGCUUUUGUUAAUUUAGAAGCUUGAGUGUAAGAGAAGAGUAAAGCGAAGAAGAAGACACAAGGGUUUUAAGUGGUUCAGCCUAAUGUUGGCUUACGUCCACUGUAAGGCUAAUCUUUCACUUUCUUUUAGAGAGGAUUACAAAGGGAAUUUCUUCUACAACUUCCAGAAGUACAGACUAAGCUAUUUAAAAGGACUUUAGCCUAAUAACUAACUCUUUACCGAAGUACUCUGUUUUACCCAUGGUUUCUGUUGUAUUCAACUACGGUAUGUAGAUUCGAGCCAAUCUCAUACAAUGUUCAAACUUUACUUGAGUGACUGUUUUAGUUAACAUAUCUGCAGCAUUAUAAGAGUUUCGAGAUCAAUGACUUGUCGUAGGACACUAUCACUAAGAUUCAGAAUGAUUGUCCCAUAAGCGAUCUCUUCCAUUGUCUCCUUUUCUUCAGUUGACAUCGACUCAGGUAACUUUGCUGGAUCAAGAGUUACUUUGGAAGCUUUCUACUGKCCAAGAAUUGCUUUAAUCUUGAUUUUCAACAGCUCGAAGUCGCCUUUUCCAUCGAACUUUUCAAUCUCAUACCUCGCUACAGCCAUCGCUGGUUCUUGCUUCAUGAAUUAACCAAAACUCCUGUGAACCGUGGCUCUAAUACCAAUUUUGUUAGAAAAAAUUUCAGGAACUUUUGUCAAUUUAGAAGCUUGAGUGUAAGAGAAGAGUAAAGUGAAGAAGAAGACACAAGGGUUUUAASUGGUUCAGCCUAAUGUUGGCCUACGACCACUGUAAGGCUAAUCUUUCACUUUCUUUUAGAGAGGAUUACCAAGGGAAUUUCUUCUACAACUUCCAGAACUACAGACUAAGCUAUUUAAAAGGACUUUAGCCUAAUAACUAACUAUUUACAGAAGUACUCUGUUUUACCCAUGGUUUCUGUUGUAUUCAACCACGGUAAGUAUUACACUUAGACCUUCCAAAAUCGCCAUAUAUUCCAACAUUUUAACACUACAUUUCGUUUCAAAAGGUUUAUUUCCAACCAAUAUUACUUCACCUUUCCAAUUUCGAAGCAGCCAUCCAAGUCCCCCUCUCUAAAGAGUUUCUAACCACGAUGCAUCAGUGUUCAGCUUCCAGACAUUUGGUAAAGGUGGAUUCCAUGCCUCAACAUCUUGAAUCCCGCCAGUAAGAUUUCAUUGUCAAACAAAAUUUGAGGUUGAAAUGUUACACCUCAAUGCUAAAUGUCUUUUGUCCUUGUUGAAUUUGGUUAUUUGAUUGAUGAGUCUUUCUGAUGUAAAAAUUAUGUUGUUCCUAGAGUUCCACAACACCCAUGAAGUGAUCCUAAAGACUUUUAAAAAUCUUAUUCAUUUGCAUUAUCCAGCAACCAAUCCUGUUAUGGGAAGACAAAAUUAGACCCGACAAGAAGCGAACUACAUCACAAGUCAAUGGCCCAAAGCAUGACCAGAUCCAGGGUAUGACUAAAUUCAAUCCAAGACAUGACCAAAUCUAAAGCGUGACCAAACUUAGAGCCUAGCCAGGUCCCGACAGACCAGGUUUUUGUGCUUCUCCAACAAGCCAAUUGAUGGGUCAGCUCCCAUUUUCUUGUACCGUCUGGCCAACGAUGGUGUUAUCUCCAAAAUCCAAGCUAUUUGAGAAGAGAAGAUAUCCUAUCAACUUUGACAUCUAUAAGUAAAGAGAUAAAUCUCAYAAUUCAGGUACGCUGAGAACCUUAUUCACAUUACUCGCAAACUUCUGAUUCUAACUAGGCAUUUUAGCCUAUGUGGCUAGCACCACACCGAUGUUCAAUGCUAUUUGUUUUGCAAGUUGACGUUCGUUUCCAAUUUCAUUAUUAAUAAUUGGUGCGAAUUUGGCGGAUUCCUAAGGAGCCUAAAUUCUGCAUUAACAAUUGGCACCGUCUGUGGGGAAGACUAAGAUCUAAAAGCCAAAAAGAUCAACAUGAAUUCUUGAAAGGAUCAGYAGUGGUCCGACGACGAAUUACAUUCGAGGAGAAAAGUGAASUGAGAAUUGCUUGGGCCUGAAGAAGUCCUAGGUAAAACAAGUCGACAAGUUCUCARACAAAAAGAGCAACAGAUGAGGGUCAAUAAUAACAAAUGAACAAAUUAGCCGCCUUGGAGAAGAAAGUCAAAGGAAUGCACCAAAAUAUAUCUCUCCUUCUAAGCAAGCUCGAACAACAGGAUUUGAGACAACAACAGGAUGUGCGACAAAUACGCUAGUCUAAGAUCCACGAAAAGGUAAAGCUCUAGAAAUCGAAGAUGUUGAGGAGUCGACAAACAAUCCACUUAAUCGAAGCAAAUUGAAGAUGGGAGGAAACAGCAAGUCACUAGAUGAAGUUUUCGAUCGACUAAGUCCAAAGACCACGCAACAACAGAAGUUUGUGGCGUGCGGUAGGAGCAAGAGCAACCAGGUUAGCUGACCAGAUCUCAAGCACACCCUUGUUGACAAGAGAUUGCAAUGUAGCAAGCAUGAACGAGCUGAGAAGUAGCAGAAACCCGAAGAAAAACAGAAAGACAAAGGGUGUGGCCUAGAAGAAAUCAUAGAUCAGGCGGAAGAAAUUAUGAAAGAGAAGGUCCCACCAAAGUUUAAGUUUCCAGCCAUCAAAUAAUACGAUGGCUCUAUGGAUCCUAUCGACCACCUCAACGCAUAUAGGGAAUGRAUGGACAUUUACGAGGUGACAGAAGUCAUCAGAUGUAAGGUGUUCUCCUUCACGUUGACUGGUUCAGCCCGCAUAUGGUUCCAACAAUUGAAGAGGAAGUCAAUCUCCUCCUUCAAAGAACUUGCAAGGACAUUCGUCACACAAUUUAUCGGAGGAYAGAACAGAAGUCUACCCAUGGCAUAUCUUCUCACCAGAAGUUGAUAGAAUGCCUCAAAGAAUACGUAGCUCGGUUCAACGAGGAGAAGUUGCAAGUCGAGGGUGUUACUGACGGAAYGUCCUUUAUCACCUUCAUGUUCGGUGUGAAAGAUGAAAAUUUGUCAUUCUCCUUUGGAAAAUAAGACCCUAGCUACCUUCUCUUAAGCAUUAAGUCGCGCCCAAAAUAAUAUGAGUGUAGGGGAACUACUCUAUUCAAAGCGGGAUUACGUUAGAGAGCGCAGUUAAGCAGAGCACAGCGUGAAGAGAUAUAGGUCUAGAGAAGAACAAUCUGGAUCAAAGUACGRAAAAACUGACAGUACGAGGGAUCAACCAGGAUAACAGGACCUUCCAAAUAGGUUCGA
Molecule: long non-coding RNA, 3606 nt
Organism: Momordica charantia (bitter melon)
Lineage: Eukaryota; Viridiplantae; Streptophyta; Magnoliopsida; Cucurbitales; Cucurbitaceae
Source: RefSeq, a predicted model, not a curated record